UGAGCUGAGAGUUUGAUCCUGGCUCAGGACGAACGCUGGCGGCGUGCUUAACACAUGCAAGUUGAACGACGGU
RNAcentral lists this ribosomal RNA (73 nucleotides) under Synergistaceae bacterium. RNAcentral's name for it is "partial 16S ribosomal RNA". It matches the Rfam family "Bacterial small subunit ribosomal RNA", at positions 1 to 73 of the family's 1533-position model. The record is from RNAcentral. Lineage: Bacteria; Thermotogati; Synergistota; Synergistia; Synergistales; Synergistaceae.